Molecule: ribosomal RNA, 406 nt
Filed under: uncultured bacterium
Lineage: Bacteria
Description: partial 16S ribosomal RNA
Rfam family: Bacterial small subunit ribosomal RNA
Source: RNAcentral
AUUGAACGCUGGCGGCAGGCCUAACACAUGCAAGUCGAGCGAGCGGCGGACGGGUGAGUAAUGUCUGGGAUACUGCCUGAUGGAGGGGGCUAACUACUGGAAACGGUAGCUAAUACCGCAUACCAUCAGAUGUGCCCAGAUGGGAUUAGCUAGUAGGUGGGGUCACGGCUCACCGAGGCGACGAUCCCUAGCUGGUCUGCGAGGAUGACCAGCCACACAGGAACUGAGACACGGGCCAGACUCCUACGGGAGGCAGCAGUGGGGAAUAUUGCACAAUGGGCGCGAGCCUGCUGCAGCCAUGCCGCGUGUGUGAAGAAGGCCUUCGGGUUGGAAAGCACUUUCAGCGGGGAGGCGUUACCCGCAGAAGAAGCACCGGCUAACUCCGUGCCAGCAGCCGCGGUAAUAC